RNAcentral lists this ribosomal RNA (121 nucleotides) under Prolemur simus (greater bamboo lemur). Lineage: Eukaryota; Metazoa; Chordata; Mammalia; Primates; Lemuridae. The record is from RNAcentral.
GUCUAUGGCCAUACAACCCUGAAUGCACCUGAUCUUGUCUGAUCUUGGAAGCUAAGCAGGGUCGAGCCUGGUUAGUACUUGGAUGGGAGACAUAAUGUAUGAAGUCCUUGAAUAGUACACC